GACGAACGCUGGCGGCAUGCCUAACACAUGCAAGUCGAACGGAGAUUAUUUCGGUAAUCUUAGUGGCGAACGGGUGAGUAACGCGUAGGCAACCUGCCCUUUAGUUGGGGACAACAUUCCGAAAGGGGUGGCUAAUACCGAAUGUGACAGUUUUCUUCGCAUGAGAUUACUGUGAAAGAAUGGCCUCUAUUUAUAAGCUAUCGCUAAAGGAUGGGCCUGCGUCUGAUUAGCUAGUUGGUGGGGUAACGGCCUACCAAGGCGAUGAUCAGUAGCCGGUCUGAGAGGAUGAACGGCCACAUUGGGACUGAGACACGGCCCAGACUCCUACGGGAGGCAGCAGUGGGGAAUCUUCCGCAAUGGGCGAAAGCCUGACGGAGCAAUGCCGCGUGAGUGAUGAAGGGAUUCGUUCCGUAAAGCUCUUUUGUUUAUGACGAAUGUGCAGACUGUGAAUAAUGGUUUGUAAUGACGGUAGUAAACGAAUAAGCCACGGCUAACUACGUGCC
RNAcentral lists this ribosomal RNA (503 nucleotides) under uncultured bacterium. Its description in RNAcentral is "bacterial SSU rRNA". It matches the Rfam family "Bacterial small subunit ribosomal RNA", at positions 28 to 509 of the family's 1533-position model. The record is from RNAcentral.